UACGUAGGGUGCAAGCGUUAUCCGGAAUUAUUGGGCGUAAAGAGCUCGUAGGCGGUCUGUCGCGUCUGCUGUGAAAACUGGGGGCUCAACCCCCAGCCUGCAGUGGGUACGGGCAGACUAGAGUGCGGUAGGGGAGAUUGGAAUCCUGGUGUAGCGGUUGGAAUGCGCAGAUAUCAGGAGGAACACCGAUGGCGAAGGCAAGAUCUCUGGGCCGUAACUGACGCUGAGGAGCGAAAGCAUGGGGAGCGAAACAGG
Molecule: ribosomal RNA, 255 nt
Filed under: uncultured bacterium
Lineage: Bacteria
Description: partial 16S ribosomal RNA
Rfam family: Bacterial small subunit ribosomal RNA
Source: RNAcentral